AAACCAACAGGGAUUGCCCCAGUAACGGCGAGUGAAGCGGCAACAGCUCAAAUUUGAAAUCUGGCCCCCCUCCACGGGGACCCGAGUUGUAAUUUGCAGAGGAUGCUUCUGGCGCGGCGCCUUCCGAGUUCCCUGGAACGGGACGCCAUAGAGGGUGAGAGCCCCGUCUGGUUGGACGCCUAGCCUCUGUGAAGCACCUUCGACGAGUCGAGUAGUUUGGGAAUGCUGCUCAAAAUGGGAGGUAUAUGUCUUCUAAAGCUAAAUACCGGCCAGAGACCGAUAGCGCACAAGUAGAGUGAUCGAAAGAUGAAAAGCACUUUGAAAAGAGGGUUAAACAGUACGUGAAAUUGUUGAAAGGGAAGCGCUCAUGACCAGACUUGGGCCCCGCGCAUCACCCGGCGUUCUCGCCGGGGCACUUCGCGGGGCCCAGGCCAGCAUCAGUUCGCGGCGGGGGACAAAGGCUUCGGGAACGUGGCUCCCUCGGGAGUGUUACAGCCCGCUGCGCAAUGCCCUGCCGCGGACUGAGGUUCGCGCUUCCGCAAGGAUGCUGGCGUAAUGGUCAUCAGCGAC
Molecule: ribosomal RNA, 570 nt
Filed under: Perennicordyceps prolifica
Lineage: Eukaryota; Fungi; Ascomycota; Sordariomycetes; Hypocreales; Polycephalomycetaceae
Description: eukaryotic LSU rRNA
Rfam family: Eukaryotic large subunit ribosomal RNA
Source: RNAcentral